AAGAGAAGGGAAGGGAAGGAAACGGAGAGGAGAGCUCGCUUCGUGUUCCUCCUCCUCCUCCUCCUCCUCGACGAAGAAGAUAAAGGAGACGACGAGCGUCCAAAAGACUCCUCUGUCUUCCACCUUCCUGACGCAAACGAGAGCUCGACCAUGUCGGAUCCCGCGUCUCUUCCGCCCGGCUUUCGCUUCCACCCCACCGACGAGGAGCUGAUCCUGCACUACCUACGGAACCAGGCGGCCUCCCUGCCGUGUCCCGUGUCCAUCAUCGCCGAGGUCGACAUCUACAAGCUCGAUCCAUGGGACCUUCCUGGUCGGUAACCUGACGAGCUCCAUGCGCGUAGGAAGGUGCGCGUCUUCUUCUUACUUGGUUCUUCUGUGGAUUGGUGGCGUAGGCAAAGCGGUGUUUGGGGAGCGCGAGUGGUACUUCUUCAGCCCCAGGGAUCGCAAGUACCCCAACGGCGUCCGGCCGAACAGAGCCGCCGCCUCCGGCUACUGGAAGGCGACCGGGACGGAUAAGCCCAUCCACGACAGCAGGGGGAACGAGCGCAUCGGGGUCAAGAAGGCGUUGGUGUUCUACGAGGGAAGGCCUCCCAAGGGGAGCAAGACGAACUGGAUCAUGCACGAGUACCGCCUCGAAGAAGCUCGGAGGAGCAACUGCUACAAGCUGAAGCACGCCUCCAUGAGGGUAACCAUGACCUCACCUCUCCCACCAUCUCUUCCUGCACUCGAUGCUGGCGAGCUAUUAAAGGUGCACGUCGAUCGCAGUUGGAUGACUGGGUCCUCUGCCGGAUCUACAAGAAAAAGGGCAACCUGCAACCGGUGCCGCCAUCGAUGGACGAUCGAGAACGACAAGAUCCAGCAGACUCUGCCUCGUCCAGCUUUCACGGCAUGAAUCGAGCUCUGUCCAUGGCAGAUCUCAUGGAGGACUACUCAGCACCGUCACACCUGUUCGCUAACCUGCCGGUGAUGCAGGGAUCCGAGCUUGGCUUUCUCAGGGCUCAACCGAGGAUGGAUCAUCAGCUCUUACGACCUGGAAACAUCGACGGCAGCAGCGAUUUCCACUACCAACUCGCUCGACAGAAGAAACCCAGUGAUGCGACCAUCUACACCGCUGACUUCAGCUCGCUGAGCCAACGAUUGCUCGAUCUGCCCGGCUCUCAUCUGUGAUUACAUCGAGCGAGACGCAGAAACAGCUUGCAU
Molecule: long non-coding RNA, 1200 nt
Filed under: Musa acuminata (dwarf banana)
Lineage: Eukaryota; Viridiplantae; Streptophyta; Magnoliopsida; Zingiberales; Musaceae
Description: long non-coding RNA (MACU_LNC005005)
Source: RNAcentral